AUCUAUGGCCAUGCCACCCAGAACAAGCCCGAUCCCAUCUGAUCUCGGAACUAAGCAAGGUCAGGCCUGGUUAGUACUUGGAUGGGAGACCACCUAGGAAGACCAGGUGCUGUAGGCG
RNAcentral lists this ribosomal RNA (118 nucleotides) under Pteropus alecto (black flying fox). The record is from RNAcentral. Lineage: Eukaryota; Metazoa; Chordata; Mammalia; Chiroptera; Pteropodidae.